Molecule: long non-coding RNA, 465 nt
Filed under: Oryzias javanicus (javanese ricefish)
Lineage: Eukaryota; Metazoa; Chordata; Actinopteri; Beloniformes; Adrianichthyidae
Description: lncRNA (ENSOJAG00000002210.1)
Source: RNAcentral
GUUUUUUCAUUUUCCGAUUCAAAAACCAGUUUUGUGCACCAAAACGAGAAAACGAAAAUCGGAUAACGGGCGUUUGAUUUGGUUUUUCAUAGUUUCGUUUCUGACACGGGGGGUCACCCGGAAGUAGUCUGCGCAGAUUCUUACGUGUUAAAACAGCUGCAGUGCUCGGACAGUAACUGUCUUUCUUUAAGGGAAAUGGAUCGUUUUAUUAGUGUUUGUGACUGUAAAGGGAAAAUCCGAGACCCAAGGACAUGAAAAUACAUCCGUUCCAGGUGAAGUUUCUUUAAGCAAAGUUCCAGAGCAGUUUUUGCCUGAAGAACAGAGGGCAGCUCUACGAGGGAGUACAACGGAGACUAAAGUCCUUUGGAAGAGCCAUUUUUCCUGGACCUGCUGCAUAAGCCUGACUGGUUGUUGAGGAGAGGAGCCGUGAUUCCUGCCUGGAGUGUCGGGCUGAUGAGCUGCAAA